This 253-nucleotide ribosomal RNA is filed under the name uncultured bacterium. RNAcentral's name for it is "partial 16S ribosomal RNA". It matches the Rfam family "Bacterial small subunit ribosomal RNA", at positions 524 to 776 of the family's 1533-position model. The record is from RNAcentral.
UACGUAGGGGGCUAGCGUUGUCCGGAAUCAUUGGGCGUAAAGAGCGUGUAGGCGGUCCGGUAAGUCCGCUGUGAAAGUCGGGGGCUCAACCCUCGAAUGCCGGUGGAUACUGUCGGGCUAGAGUGCGGAAGAGGCGAGUGGAAUUCCUGGUGUAGCGGUGAAAUGCGCAGAUAUCAGGAGGAACACCUAUUGCGAAGGCAGCUCGCCGGGACGUUACUGACGCUGAGACGCGAAAGCGUGGGGAGCAAACAGG